This 505-nucleotide ribosomal RNA is filed under the name uncultured bacterium. Its description in RNAcentral is "bacterial SSU rRNA". It matches the Rfam family "Bacterial small subunit ribosomal RNA", at positions 29 to 518 of the family's 1533-position model. The record is from RNAcentral.
AUGAACGCUGGCGGCGUGCCUAACACAUGCAAGUCGAACGGAGAUUAGACGCUGACGAGACUUCGGUCAAAUCUGUUUAAUCUUAGUGGCGGACGGGUGAGUAACGCGUGGGCAACCUGCCUCAUACUGGGGGGAUAGCAGUUGGAAACGACUGAUAAUACCGCAUAAGCGCACGAGAUCGCAUGAUCUAGUGUGAAAAACUCCGGUGGUAUGAGAUGGGCCCGCGUCAGAUUAGCUAGUUGGUAAGGUAACGGCUUACCAAGGCGACGAUCUGUAGCCGGACUGAGAGGUCGGACGGCCACACUGGGACUGAGACACGGCCCAAACUCCUACGGGAGGCAGCAGUGGGGGAUAUUGCACAAUGGAGGAAACUCUGAUGCAGCGACGCCGCGUGAGUGAAGAAGUAUUUCGGUAUGUAAAGCUCUAUCAGCAGGGAAGAAAGGCUCGUAAGAGAGAUGACGGUACCUGACUAAGAAGCCCCGGCUAACUACGUGCCAGCAGCCGC